CUACGGGGUGCUGCAGUGAGGAAUAUUGCACAAUGGGGGGAACCCUGAUGCAGCAACGCCGCGUGGAGGAUGACGCAUUUCGGUGUGUAAACUCCUUUUAUAUGUCAAGAAAAUGACGGUAGCAUAUGAAUAAGCACCGGCUAACUCCGUGCCAGCAGCCGCGGUAAUACGGAGGGUGCAAGCGUUACUCGGAAUCACUGGGCGUAAAGGACGCGUAGGCGGGUUGGAAAGCCAGGUGUGAAAUCCUACAGCUUAACUGUAGAACUGCACUUGAAACUUCUAAUCUAGAGUAUGGGAGGGGGAGAUGGGAUUAGUGGUGUAGGGGUAAAAUCCGUAGAUAUCACUAGGAAUACCUAAAGCGAAGGCGAUCUCCUGGAACAUUACUGACGCUAAGGCGUGAAAGCGUGGGGAGCAAACAGGAUUAGAUACCCUCGUAGUC
RNAcentral lists this ribosomal RNA (439 nucleotides) under uncultured bacterium. RNAcentral's name for it is "partial 16S ribosomal RNA". It matches the Rfam family "Bacterial small subunit ribosomal RNA", at positions 339 to 795 of the family's 1533-position model. The record is from RNAcentral.